This 468-nucleotide ribosomal RNA is filed under the name uncultured bacterium. RNAcentral's name for it is "partial 16S ribosomal RNA". It matches the Rfam family "Bacterial small subunit ribosomal RNA", at positions 28 to 507 of the family's 1533-position model. The record is from RNAcentral.
GACGAACGCUGGCGGCGUGCUUAACACAUGCAAGUCGAACGGAACGUCCCGGCUUUUGUGGGGUGCUCUAGUGGCGAACUGGUGAGUAACACUUGAGUAACCUGCCCUUGACUGUGGGGUAACUUCAUGACACUUAGUCUCAUACCGGCAAUGAGCUCCUGCUUCUUGGUGGGGGUUGGUAAGUUUCGGCGGUUGGGGGUGUACUCGCGGCUUAUCAGCUUGUUGGUGGGGUAGUGGCUUACCAAGGCUUUGCCCGGUAGCCGGCCUGCGAGGGUGACCGGACCCACUGGGCCUGAGAUGCGGCACAGCCUCGUACGGGAGGCAGCAGUGGGGAAUAGUGCACAAUGGGAGGAAGCCUGAUGCAGCCACGCAGCGUGCGGGAUGACGGCCUUCGGGUUGUGUACCGAUUUCGCCUGUGCCGAAGCGUGAGUGACGGUAAUGGGUAAAGAAGCACCGGCUAACUACGUG